RNA transcript from Quercus lobata, 1432 nucleotides. It is a transcript of the gene named probable cinnamyl alcohol dehydrogenase 1, with no coding region annotated. Lineage: Eukaryota; Viridiplantae; Streptophyta; Magnoliopsida; Fagales; Fagaceae. The transcript is spliced from 7 exons. The record is from RefSeq and is a predicted model, not a curated record.
AUCAAACCUAUUAAAAGUUGACUUACUUGGUUUGGAUCUUUGGACUGUAGUAAUAUUCUCUCUCUCUCUCUCUCUCUCUCUCUCUCUCUGUGAAAAAUGAGCUCCUUGAUUGCAAAUGAAGAUUGCCUUGGAUGGGCAGCAAGAGAUGCAUCUGGCGUUUUAUCACCUUACAACUUCAACCGCAGGGCCGUAAGGAGUGAUGAUGUUUCAAUAAAAAUUACACACUGUGGAGUUUGUUAUGCUGAUGUAAUUUGGACCAGGAAUGGACUUGGGGAUUCAAAGUAUCCUUUGGUGCCUGGACAUGAGAUUGUUGGCAUUGUGCAAGAGGUUGGUUCUAAUGUUAACCGCUUCAAAGUUGGUGACCACGUUGGAGUAGGAACUUAUGUCAAUUCAUGUAGAGAUUGUGAGUACUGCAACGAUGAAGAAGAAGUUAAUUGCGUAAAAAGACGAGUUUCAACCUUUAAUGGGCUGGAUGAUGAUGGUACUAUUACAAAAGGAGGAUAUUCCAGCUAUAUUGUUGUUCAUGAUAGGUACUGCUUCAGGAUACCUGAUGACUAUCCAUUGGCUUCAGCAGCUCCUUUGCUUUGUGCUGGAAUCAACGUGUACAGUCCCAUGAUACGCCACAAGAUGAACCAACCUGGUAAAUCUCUGGGAGUGAUUGGACUUGGAGGUCUUGGUCACAUGGCAGUGAAGUUUGGGAAGGCGUUUGGGUUGAAUGUGACUGUUCUCAGCACUAGCAUAUCCAAGAAAGAGGAAGCUCUAACUUUGCUUGGUGCAGACAAAUUUGUGGUCUCAUCUGACCAAGAGCAGAUGAAGGCCGAGGCUAAGUCAUUAGACUUUAUAAUUGACACUGCAGCUGGUGAUCCCCAUUUGAUCCAUACAUGUCACUGUUGAAAACUGGUGGUGUUCUGGUCCUAGUGGGAUUCCCAAGUGAAGUCAAAUUCCAUCCUGCAAGCCUUAGCAUAGGAAUGAAAACCGUUUCUGGUAGCAAUACAGGUGGUACAAAGUCGACACGAGAAAUGAUAGACUUCUGUAGUGCUCAUAAAAAUUACCCAAACAUAGAAGUAAUUCCAAUUCACUAUGCAAAUGAAGCUCUUGAGAGGCUAAUAAAGAGAGACGUGAGGUAUCGGUUUGUGAUCAAUAUUGAGAACUCCCUGAAAUGAUACUGCUAAAGGCACAAGGAAAAUUCCUCUUCUCGAUAUUUAUGUUCAUAUUUUAGGUAGAUUGAAGGUAUUGGAUCAAAUGUUGAAACUCUGACAGGUUGUUGAGUGGUAUUGUGAGGUGGUUUCACUUGCAUACUAGCCUGAAAUAAGUGAAUGGGUUGUUGAGCAAUAUUGUGAGGAAUGGUUUAAUAAAAAUUAGAAGUGUGUACUUUUAAAUUGUGAACCCUUUUGUAUCAUAGUCUUGUUACCUGUGCUGUGCAAACGCUUGU